CAUAAACAAAAACUUCAAUAUUCUUUUAUGUUAGUUUCAACGCCUUAUUCUACAACCUUAUAUGAAUGAUCUCAUAAAAUCAUGUUUCAAAUAACGACUAAAAUGUUUUCCUUGUCGACUUUCGUAUAGUUGCAUUUGUUUACAUUAUUAGAACCUUGGAUAUCUGAGGCAAUCCCGGAAGCUAUGCUUAUAUCAGUCAGAGAAAUAUCUAAUGAACUGGAAGCAGAGGCAGAUAUAAUGAAGGGGGCGUGCUCACCCUUGAAGAAACCUUCCAAUCUGGAAGUGAUGUAAGAAGAAAUGCCAAAUGGGAAUACUUAUCAAUAUUUAUACUCAGCCCAGUUUCAUCAUAAUUCUGGGUAUUAUUGUUUUUCAGUAAUGUUCAAUUUUAAAUCGAACGAUCAAAUAAC
Long non-coding RNA from Harmonia axyridis, 407 nucleotides. RefSeq lists it as uncharacterized. NCBI's taxonomy places the organism in Eukaryota, Metazoa, Arthropoda, Insecta, Coleoptera, Coccinellidae. The transcript is spliced from 2 exons. The record is from RefSeq and is a predicted model, not a curated record.